GGCCCCUUAGCUCAAUUGGCAGAGCAAUUGACUCUUAAUCAAUAGGUUGAAGGUUCGAUUCCUUCAGGGGUCA
Molecule: transfer RNA, 73 nt
Filed under: Candidatus Aminicenantota bacterium
Lineage: Bacteria; Candidatus Aminicenantota
Also listed under: 1 other name
Description: Candidatus Aminicenantes bacterium tRNA-Lys
Rfam family: tRNA
About the family: Transfer RNA (tRNA) molecules are approximately 80 nucleotides in length. Their secondary structure includes four short double-helical elements and three loops (D, anti-codon, and T loops). Further hydrogen bonds mediate the characteristic L-shaped molecular structure. tRNAs have two regions of fundamental functional importance: the anti-codon, which is responsible for specific mRNA codon recognition, and the 3' end, to which the tRNAs corresponding amino acid is attached (by aminoacyl-tRNA synthetases). tRNAs cope with the degeneracy of the genetic code in two manners: having more than one tRNA (with a specific anti-codon) for a particular amino acid; and 'wobble' base-pairing, i.e. permitting non-standard base-pairing at the 3rd anti-codon position.
Source: RNAcentral